GCCUGCGUGGCUCAGUCAGUUAAGUGUCUGACUUUGGCUCAGGUAAUGAUCUCACGGUUUGUGGGUUCGAGCCCCACGUCAGGCU
This 85-nucleotide transfer RNA is filed under the name Felis catus (domestic cat). It matches the Rfam family "tRNA". Rfam says of the family: Transfer RNA (tRNA) molecules are approximately 80 nucleotides in length. Their secondary structure includes four short double-helical elements and three loops (D, anti-codon, and T loops). Further hydrogen bonds mediate the characteristic L-shaped molecular structure. tRNAs have two regions of fundamental functional importance: the anti-codon, which is responsible for specific mRNA codon recognition, and the 3' end, to which the tRNAs corresponding amino acid is attached (by aminoacyl-tRNA synthetases). tRNAs cope with the degeneracy of the genetic code in two manners: having more than one tRNA (with a specific anti-codon) for a particular amino acid; and 'wobble' base-pairing, i.e. permitting non-standard base-pairing at the 3rd anti-codon position. The record is from Rfam by way of RNAcentral. Lineage: Eukaryota; Metazoa; Chordata; Mammalia; Carnivora; Felidae.